Molecule: ribosomal RNA, 460 nt
Filed under: uncultured bacterium
Lineage: Bacteria
Description: partial 16S ribosomal RNA
Rfam family: Bacterial small subunit ribosomal RNA
Source: RNAcentral
CCUACGGGCGGCAGCAGUGAGGAAUAUUGGUCAAUGGACGAAAGUCUGAACCAGCCAAGUCGCGUGAAGGAUGAAUGCCCUAUGGAUUGUAAACUUCUUUUAUAAAGGAAUAAAACGUGGCACGUGUCCCGUUUUGCAUGUACUUUAUGAAUAAGGAUCGGCUAACUCCGUGCCAGCAGCCGCGGUAAUACGGAGGAUCCGAGCGUUAUCCGGAUUUAUUGGGUUUAAAGGGUGCGUAGAUGGGUUGUUAAGUCAGUUGUGAAAGUUUGCGGCUCAACCGUAAAAUUGCAAUUGAUACUGGCAGGCUUGAGUACAGUUGAGGUAGGCGGAAUUCGUGGUGUAGCGGUGAAAUGCUUAGAUAUCACGAAGAACCCCGAUUGCGAAGGCAGCUUACUAAGCUGUGACUGACGUUGAUGCACGAAAGUGUGGGUAUCAAACAGGAUUAGAUACCCGAGUAGUC